UACGUAGGUGGCGAGCGUUGUUCGGAUUUAUUGGGCGUAAAGGGUCCGCAGGAGGUUUGUUAAAAUUGGGGUGAAAUCCCGGAGCUCAACUCCGGAACUGCCUUGAUGACUGACGAACUAGAGUGCUGGAGAGGUAAGCGGAAUACCAGGUGUAGCGGUGGAAUGCGUAGAUAUCUGGUAGAACACCGAAAGCGAAGGCAGCUUACUGGACAGCAACUGACUCUCAUGGACGAAAGCGUGGGGAGCAAACAGG
This 253-nucleotide ribosomal RNA is filed under the name uncultured bacterium. RNAcentral describes it as "partial 16S ribosomal RNA". It matches the Rfam family "Bacterial small subunit ribosomal RNA", at positions 524 to 776 of the family's 1533-position model. The record is from RNAcentral.